CAGUGAGCAAGGUUAAGUUUUGGUGGUCAAGUCCAUAUCUCAGAUACUAUAAGCAAUAGGGCUAGUAUAUUCGGUGUAUGGAAGGACUGUAAGGAGUACAUGUCCAACUGGCAGGUGUCAUCUGACCUUGACCUCAUUUUCAUGGUUCAGUGGUUAUAGUUAAGUUUUUGUGUUUUGGUCUGUUUUUCUCAUACUUUAUGCAAUAGGUCUACUAUAUUUGUUGUAUGGAAUGAUUGUAAGGUGAACAUGUCUAGCGGACAGAUGUCAUCUGACCUUGACCUCAUUUUCAUGGUUCAGUGGUCAAAGUUAAGUU
Molecule: long non-coding RNA, 313 nt
Filed under: Mytilus galloprovincialis (Mediterranean mussel)
Lineage: Eukaryota; Metazoa; Mollusca; Bivalvia; Mytilida; Mytilidae
Source: RNAcentral